CCCAGUGAUCGGAGUGAUCAUCAGUUAGACUUGUUGUUUACCCAUGUCAAGCCCCGUCAGACAACUAUUGAAUAUUAAGUAAAUAUGGUAAAUAUAUACGAGCAAACAUAAAUUUCUUGCGAAACAUGUCAGCAGAUCAGUCGGCGAUCGCCGGAGAGGAAACGGCUUUCUUUGGCGCAUACCUACGCCCGAUUUCGCAAUCCAAUCAAUCUGAUCAUAAUCGCAUUGUCUAUGGAUUGGGGGAAAUCGCUCCUACCUAGAAGAAUUGCGGUCGUUCCUAUUGAUCAUCGGAUUGUUUUUGCUCAUUUCCUGGGUCCCGGACAAUGGCAGAAGUCUGGAAUAAUUAACAGCCGUAACCGAUUCGGAAUCACAAAUGGCAAGUAGCAAAUAGCAAAUGGCAAAUAGCAAAUGGCAAUAGCACCGCUCCCCUCUUCAGACACUUCCUACCGAUCGCGAUGAAGUGAGUGAGCGGGGAAAACUUGAAUCCAUUCAGGCGGCCGCCAUUCAUCGAUCGUAAUAAAUAACUGAAUUAAUGUGACUGCCUUUGGACAAUAAAUUACUGAGUUUACUGUUCAACUCACUGUAAAAAGUGCUAAAAUUACGCGAGUAAUAAAAACAUUAGCUAUUCGCUAUCUAUAAAACCAAUCAUUUAAAUAAUGCGGAACUCUCGCCCAUUUGCAGAAUGUCAUCAGAUGAAAAUCCGCGAUGAAUCAUUGUGAUAAGUCUGGAUGUGCUAAUGGGAAUCCUCAUCGCUCUUUUUCGUAUUUUUGGAAAAAAUAUAACGAUAUAUUUAUGAAUAUUUGCAAGCACUCAUACAAUAAAUCUCAACAUUAGUCAUUUAUGUUAAAAUUAUAAGAAAAACAAAUACACUUCUAGCCCCAAAUUCCUAGAACUGAUACCCAACUAAGUGCCUACAAGGCCGAAGGACUUCAGUUUCCAGUGCCAUUUUCUUUUCCAUUAAUUAUAGUAUUAUAUACUAGUUUUAAUUUUAAAAAAAAAAAAAAUAUGUGCCUACUAUAUUUUAUAGAAUUUUGUCUACAUAACUCGAAUAUUUAUAUUCCUCGUUCUUCUUAAUGUUUGCCACUUAUUGCAGGAAACACUUUUUAUUACCAUUUUUAAUACCAAUUAUCAGAAUUCAUACUGAAGAUUACUUUUAAAGCUAUUUUUUUAUUUUCUGAUUUCUUUUUUAAAUUAAUUUUUAUGGGUUUGUCAUUAUAAAGAUGAUUUUUAAGAGUUUUUUUAUGGUUUGCUGAAUUGAUUAUAAUUUUUUGACAAUGGAAUUUUUCGAAACUCAUAUAUUUGCACAAUCUCAAAAUAAAAAAACCCAAAAUAAAAUAAUAAUGAUCAAGUACAUUGAAAUUGAUAUAUUUUGGCCGCCAAAACAGAAUGUCUAAAUUUAUAAUUUCGUUCGGUGCAUGAUGAUCGCUGGUGCAAAUGUAGGUCAGAAUGUGACUGAAAUAUUCCGGCCACGGCAUUAUCAUCUCAGCCCGCUUCACGCCCAACAAUCACAUCGAUUUAUAGUUUAUAGUAAAUUCCUGCACUUCAAAUCCGAGUCCGAAUCUGAUGCAUUGCGAUUAGUCGGGAGGCGAGGCCUGGAUUUUGGGGUCGCCCUCCCGUUUUCGAUUAGAUUGUGGAGCGGAGCCCCCGAUUGCAUCAGGUUAACC
Molecule: long non-coding RNA, 1664 nt
Organism: Drosophila rhopaloa
Lineage: Eukaryota; Metazoa; Arthropoda; Insecta; Diptera; Drosophilidae
Exons: 3
Source: RefSeq, a predicted model, not a curated record